GCCCCGGUGGCGCAGUUGGCAGCGCGUUAUUCUGAUCUUAAAUAACGGUCGUAGGUUCGACUCCUACCCGGGGUA
Molecule: non-coding RNA, 75 nt
Organism: Thrips palmi
Lineage: Eukaryota; Metazoa; Arthropoda; Insecta; Thysanoptera; Thripidae
Source: the annotation of a RefSeq genome assembly